RNAcentral lists this ribosomal RNA (524 nucleotides) under uncultured bacterium. Its description in RNAcentral is "partial 16S ribosomal RNA". It matches the Rfam family "Bacterial small subunit ribosomal RNA", at positions 28 to 523 of the family's 1533-position model. The record is from RNAcentral.
GACGAACGCUGGCGGCAUGCCUAAUACAUGCAAGUCGAGCGCAGGAAGCCGUCUGAACCCUUCGGGGGGACGACGGUGGAAUGAGCGGCGGACGGGUGAGUAACACGUAAAGAACCUGCCCAUAGGUCUGGGAUAACCACGAGAAAUCGGGGCUAAUACCGGAUGUGUCAUCGGACCGCAUGGUCCGCUGAUGAAAGGCGCUCCGGCGUCGCCCAUGGAUGGCUUUGCGGUGCAUUAGCUAGUUGGUGGGGUAACGGCCCACCAAGGCGACGAUGCAUGGGCGACCUGAGAGGGUAAGCCGCCACACUGGGACUGAGACACGGCCCAGACUCCUACGGGAGGCAGCAGUAGGUAAUCUUCCACAAUGGACGAAAGUCUGAUGGAGCAACGCCGCGUGAACGAUGAAGGCUUUCGGGUCGUAAAGUUCUGUUGUAAGGGAAGAACAAGUGCCGCAGGCAAUGGCGGCACCUUGACGGUACCUUGCGAGAAAGCCACGGCUAACUACGUGCCAGCCGCCGCAGUAA